RNAcentral lists this ribosomal RNA (253 nucleotides) under uncultured bacterium. Its description in RNAcentral is "partial 16S ribosomal RNA". It matches the Rfam family "Bacterial small subunit ribosomal RNA", at positions 524 to 776 of the family's 1533-position model. The record is from RNAcentral.
UACGUAGGGUCCGAGCGUUAAUCGGAAUUACUGGGCGUAAAGCGUGCGCAGGCGGUUUUGUAAGCCAGAUGGGAAAUCCCCGGGCUUAACCUGGGAAUGGCAUUUGGGACUGCAAGGCUGGAGUACGGCAGAGGGAGGUGGAAUUCCAGGUGUAGCAGUGAAAUGCGUAGAGAUCUGGAGGAACACCGAUGGCGAAGGCAGCCUCCUGGGCUAGUACUGACGCUCAUGCACGAAAGCGUGGGGAGCAAACAGG